GACGAACGCUGGCGGCGUGCUUAACACAUGCAAGUCGAACGGAAAGGCCCUGCUUUUGUGGGGUGCUCGAGUGGCGAACGGGUGAGUAACACGUGAGUAACCUGCCCUUGACUUUGGGAUAACUUCAGGAAACUGGGGCUAAUACCGGAUAGGAGCUCCUGCUGCAUGGUGGGGGUUGGUAAGUUUCGGCGGUUGGGGAUGGACUCGCGGCUUAUCAGCUUGUUGGUGGGGUAGUGGCUUACCAAGGCUUUGACGGGUAGCCGGCCUGAGAGGGUGACCGGCCACAUUGGGACUGAGAUACGGCCCAGACGCCUACGGGAGGCAGCAGUGGGAAAUAUUGCACAAUGGGCGGAAGCAUGAUGCAGCAACGCCGCGUGCGGGAUGACGGCCUUCGGGGUGUAAACCGCUUUCGCCUGUGACGAAGCGUGAGUGACGGUAAUGGGUAAAGAAGCACCGGCUAACUACGUG
RNAcentral lists this ribosomal RNA (468 nucleotides) under uncultured bacterium. Its description in RNAcentral is "partial 16S ribosomal RNA". It matches the Rfam family "Bacterial small subunit ribosomal RNA", at positions 28 to 507 of the family's 1533-position model. The record is from RNAcentral.